RNAcentral lists this ribosomal RNA (1103 nucleotides) under Rhytidhysteron rufulum. RNAcentral describes it as "SSU rRNA". It matches the Rfam family "Eukaryotic small subunit ribosomal RNA", at positions 1 to 1131 of the family's 1831-position model. Lineage: Eukaryota; Fungi; Ascomycota; Dothideomycetes; Hysteriales; Hysteriaceae. The record is from RNAcentral.
UUUGCGAGUCAAUAUGGCUGUCUCAAAGAUUAGCCAUGCAUGUCUAGUAUAGCAUUAUACGUGAAACUGCGAUGGCUCAUUAAAUCAGUUAUUCGUUUAUUUGAUAGUACCUUACUACUUGGGAUAACCCGUGGUAAUUCUAGAGCUAAUACAUGCUAAAAACCCCGACUUCGGGAGGGGUGUAUUUAUUAGAUAAAAAACCAACGCCCUUUCGGGGCUCCUUGGUGAAUCAUAAUAACUUAACGGAUCGCAUGGCCUUGCGCCGGCGACGGUUCAUUCAAAUUUCUGCCCUAUCAACUUUCGAUUGUAGGGUAUUGGCCUACAAUGGUAUCAACGGGUAACGGGGAAUUAGGGUUCGAUUCCGGAGAGGGAGCCUGAGAAACGGCUACCACAUCCAAGGAAGGCAGCAGGCGCGCAAAUUACCCAAUCCCGACACGGGGAGGUAGUGACAAUAAAUACUGAUACAGGGCUCUUUUGGGUCUUGUAAUUGGAAUGAGUACAAUUUAAAUCCCUUAACGAGGAACAAUUGGAGGGCAAGUCUGGUGCCAGCAGCCGCGGUAAUUCCAGCUCCAAUAGCGUAUAUUAAAGUUGUUGCAGUUAAAAAGCUCGUAGUUGAACCUUGGGCCUGGCUGGCCGGUCCGCCUCACCGCGUGCACUGGUCCGGCCGGGCCUUUCCUUCUGGAGAGCCGCAUGCCCUUCACUGGGCGUGUCGGGGAACCAGGACUUUUACUUUGAAAAAAUUAGAGUGUUCAAAGCAGGCCUUUGCUCGAAUACAUUAGCAUGGAAUAAUAGAAUAGGACGUGCGGUCCUAUUUUGUUGGUUUCUAGGACCGCCGUAAUGAUUAAUAGGGAUAGUCGGGGGCAUCAGUAUUCAAUUGUCAGAGGUGAAAUUCUUGGAUUUAUUGAAGACUAACUACUGCGAAAGCAUUUGCCAAGGAUGUUUUCAUUAAUCAGUGAACGAAAGUUAGGGGAUCGAAGACGAUCAGAUACCGUCGUAGUCUUAACCGUAAACUAUGCCGACUAGGGAUCGGGCGAUGUUAUUAUUUUGACUCGCUCGGCACCUUACGAGAAAUCAAAGUUUUUGGGUCUGGGGGAGUAGCCCCC